This 570-nucleotide ribosomal RNA is filed under the name uncultured bacterium. RNAcentral's name for it is "bacterial SSU rRNA". It matches the Rfam family "Bacterial small subunit ribosomal RNA", at positions 47 to 663 of the family's 1533-position model. The record is from RNAcentral.
CCUAAGACAUGCAGUCGUACGCGAACGACUUCGGGGUUAAGUAGAGUGGCGAACGGGUUAGUAACGCGUGGGAACAUACACAGCACAGGGGGAUAACCAUUGGAAACGAUGGCUAAUACCGCAUACGCCCUAUUGGGGAAAGAUUAUCGGUGUGGAUUGGCCCGCGUUAAUUACUAGUUGGUGGGGUAAUGGCUCACCAAGGCGAGAUUUAUAGCUGGUUUGAGAGGAUGAUCAGCAACACUGGAACUGAGACACGGUCCAAUCCACGGGAGGCAGCAGUCGGGAAUAUUGUGCAAUGGGGGCAACCCUGACACAGCCAUGCCGCGUGAGUGAAGAAGGCCUUAGGGUUGUAAAGCUCUUUCAGAUGUGAGGAUGAUGACGAUAGCAUCAGAAGAAGCUCCGGCUAACUUCGUGCCAGCAGCCGCGGUAAUACGAAGGGAGCUAGCGUUGUUCGGAAUUACUGGGCGUAAAGGGCGUGUAGGCGGAUCAUCAAGUUAGGGGUGAAAUCCCGGGGCUCAACCUCGGCACUGCCUUUAAGACUGAUAAUCUAGAGUAUGUGAGGGGAUAAUG